Molecule: RNA transcript, 1787 nt
Organism: Limulus polyphemus (Atlantic horseshoe crab)
Lineage: Eukaryota; Metazoa; Arthropoda; Merostomata; Xiphosura; Limulidae
Exons: 5
Source: RefSeq, a predicted model, not a curated record
CAUUAUACAAAUAUACAUGGCUGCAUAGUUCUACUACUCUCCAAUUAACAUAAAUUGUACAAGUGAGUCUGAUCAAGAAAUGAAAAGACAGGGAAAUGUAUCACCACGCUAUAUGCUUGCACUAUUCCGAAGUUUAUUUUAUAGUUAGCCACUCAAUUAAUGACGUUUAUGAUAGACAACUUUGGAGUCAGUACCCUCUUUGGACGAGAAAAUUAUGAAUACUACGCAAGAAUGACGGGACAUGUGUUAAAAUUGGAAAAAAAUUGGGUCUAUGCUUUCUAUUUUCCUCUAGUUAAUUUCGUAUCUCCUACAACUUCAGAAGAGGAAUCUGAAAAUACUCCAGUUCUCAUUCAUUCUUGUGAGUCAGUGGUAAAUGUUGACAAUACCCCACAGAUAAAGCAGAAAAAUAAAUAUCAUCAACUUAGAUUGUCUUUUGAACAAAAUGGCACUUACAUAGCUGGUUCUCCUUCUUUCCCUGCUUGCUCCAACAGCCUCAGUUUGAAUGAACUCAAAGCUGUGAAUUGUCAUGCUGAGAGCACCAAAUCUGUUUCUUUCCUGCUGCAGGUUCAUGAAAAGCAUAUAGCUCGUAUGAGGACCCGUUCUGAGUGGUUUUCUACUCCCUCCCCAUCCUCUUCUUCAACUUCUUUUUUCAUUGGAUCCAUGAAGGUGGGAGUACACAGCACAUGCUGAUAAGGUUUCCCAGAUGGAAGAGAAACAAGAAGUUCCAUAUUAUCUGUACCUUCCAUCUAAGGGUUGCUUUCAAAAUAGCUUCUUUUCUUGUAAAGGAAAAGCAGUUAGUUUGGAGCACAUUUGUCACAGAUAAGAUACUGGUUUGAUGCUCAUUAAGUAAGAAACAAGCAAAAUAAAGAAAAUGGAAAAUUGGUAGCAGUAAUUACGCCACAAGCCAUGGCAGUGAAGUACUGGAAAAAGUGUCUCUAUAGUGAAAAUGGGAUUACAAACUACGAUUAAACUGUACAAAAUAUACAUACCCAUCCUGUAACUUUAAAAAUCAAAUGUGUUUUCACUGAUUAUAAUUAUAAGCUGUAGUUAAAUAUAUUAAGUUACCAUCCAGUGAUUUGUGUUAUUAACAUUUUUCUUGUAUUUGUAUAGUAAGUCACCUCUGUUGUUAGAGUGUAACUUAAGUACAUUAUAUCAGAUUUCCAUUUUUACUCAAACAACAUUUAUUAAACAGGUAGUAACAGUUUAUUGCCAUUCCUGAGGUAAGUUUGUCUGAAAUACAUGUGAUCCUUGUAUUAGUUAAAUAGAAAAACAUUUUAAUAAAAUGUUUAUUUAUGAUUCAAAGAACUCUUGAGCAACAAUUUUAAAGUAUUAUUAUUAAUACUAAUUAGUGUAUUAUUGUUUCAUCAAUGAGCUGCCAGAUAGCACUAUGACAUAAUAUAAUACAUACUGAUAUUAAAGGUCAUUAACCUUCAUUUGCCAAGAAUAAAGACUGUUUGUUGCUAGUAGUAAAAGGAAACUAUAUUUAUGAUUCUGAUAUUUGAACAAAUCUCUGCCCAUCAAAUGAUUCAUAAGAAAAGGUUCAACAGUCACAUUUUGAGGUUGAGUUUAAUGGUUUAUAGGUUUGGAGAAAUUAAAAAUAUAAUUCACACAAACUUAGAGGCAUGUCAUCAAGGUUAGUCUACAAUCUAUUAAUUACUGAUGUUACCUUGUGUACCUAUGCGACUUUAUAUUUUUUAACUCUAUCAGACUGGGAACUUCAUUUUGAAGCAAGUUAGGUAGUUCUUGUUACAUUUCAUUCCAAAAAUAAAACUAAUUGAUGAAAAUGA